CCGGCCCGGCCCGGCCCGGCCCGGCCCGGCCCGAUAAUGCUGUGAGGUAUGUUUUUGACUGACCUGCAACCACACCUGCAGUGUCACUACAGAAAUUGUAAAAUUAUAUAGUUGAGAUGUUACCAAUCCCUGUUAAAAGAAGGAGAUAAACACUGGCUCUGGUUGUGGUCUGUGCUUCGAAGAAUCAGGAACUGGGAUCUCACUUUUCCUGUAUUCAAUGAUUUAACAAUAAACCUUUCAGGGAUUUUCUGACCAGCUGAAAUUUCACAUCAAAGAGAUGCUGAAGGAGACAAAGAAUACAUGUUCUGCCCAUGCCUAUGUAAAAUAGUGUUUCUUAUCCUGGUCCUGCUCUUGCUACCAGACCUUCUCAUCUCAGGUCCAGUGCCUGCACUCCUGAAGAGCACCACCUGUUGUGAUGGCACUGAGGUAUUGAAGAUUUUUAUGGUUUUGGAACUGGAAAACUGAAAGAACUACACAACUGAACAAUUGCCUACAAAGCCCAGGGCAUGCAGUCCAUUAAAGCACUAAAUAGAGUGACCACUUCUCAUGGCUUGCUUGACAGAACCAUCCAUAGGAUGAAGCUGCUCUUUAGGAAAAUUUUGCAGCAUUCUUAAGAAACAUGUAGAAAUCAAAAUAUACCGGCUAACCUGAAAUGGAAAGUAACUUUCCUGGGACAAUGAAUCCAAUGGAUGGUAAAAUCAUAAUCCAAAGCAACACAGACAUCUUCCUGAAUCUCUAGAUUAAAAUUAAAUACCUUUGUCUCCAAAUGCCUUUCUAAAUCAUCUUCUUCAUGUAACACUGAGGAUUACAUUACAUAGCAAGGAUUAUGUCAUGUUUAUGUCUCUGUCACCUCACAUGAACAUGCCAACUGAUGCAGGUGUGUGAUCAGAGUCUGGAGGCAAGAUGAAGUCUGACUGGAUAUGUCUCACAAAGAAAUUUUCUUGGAACUAAGAAGAUCAUAGAAGAAAAAUCCCUUAUUCUUUUUGGCUUAGUGUAAAAUGCGCAUAUAUGAAGUGUAACUCUGGUGAGGCUUUUCAAAAUCUCCUGUUUCAGACAGGUACUCAUGACUGUGGCAGGUAUCCUUAAACAGUGAAACUGCUAUCAGCAAAUGACCCUCUUCUCCAAGACCACAUGAAUGCCACUGUGCUGUGCUGAAAGAAGGAAGUGAGGUUAUAUUUCACUUAAGGCAGAAUGAAAGCUGGAACUAGUUUCAUAUUUUACCCCAUGUUUUCUUUUCCACUCUCAGUCAUAUCUGUAUGGCUGAUGGUUAACAGGGUGCUUUGCUUCUAUGUGAGGAAGCAUUUGUUAUUGCUUGCUCACUAUUUUCCAUAGCAACAAAAUGUCUCUGUUUAAGAUCCAGCAGAGAUGAGCAAACAGAAAAGCCUUUAAGAAGCAGUUUGUAAAGGAAGCUAAAUUAAACUUAACUCUUUCACUU
Molecule: non-coding RNA, 1435 nt
Organism: Taeniopygia guttata (zebra finch)
Lineage: Eukaryota; Metazoa; Chordata; Aves; Passeriformes; Estrildidae
Source: RefSeq, a predicted model, not a curated record